Vicia villosa (hairy vetch) is the source of this 1070-nucleotide long non-coding RNA. RefSeq lists it as uncharacterized. The transcript is spliced from 4 exons. The record is from RefSeq and is a predicted model, not a curated record. NCBI's taxonomy places the organism in Eukaryota, Viridiplantae, Streptophyta, Magnoliopsida, Fabales, Fabaceae.
UUUCAUAUUGCUUGAUAAACAUGGUGGCCAGGGCCAUUCAUUUCCUGUUUUGUAGGUAUCUUCAAAAGAUUUUUUGUGGAAAUUGCUAGAAUUUGUCUUUUGCGCAGAGCCAUGUUUUAGUAGAUCUGGGAGUUUGUCACUCUAAAGUUACCUCCAAUUUUGUACUUGUGUUAGAUAUAUGGUUAUGAUGCUUUCUUUCCCAGACAUGUCAAAUGGUUAAGAAUCAUAAAAUGGAAACGUUUUGUUGGUAACUAAAAUCUGACAUAAGAUACUAUAAAAUCCAGUGGUCUCUUUGAAAGGAAAUGGACGGUAUCUAACCACUUAUAAAUAGAGUAAUUUUUAUAGCAAGUUUGAUAUGUGUACUGCAGGAGACUGAUAAUACCAGAGAUCUCAACCACUUCUUAUAAAUAGAGUAAUUUUUAUAGCAAGUUUGAUAUGUGCACUGCAGGUGACUGAUUAUACAAGAGAUCUUGAAGAAAUGCAGAACGUUUCGAGAGAAGAAUAUCUUGCGUCUUUGCGCCGGAAGAGCAGUGGGUUUUCAAGAGGAUUAGCAAAAUAUCGUGGACUCUCAAGUCGAUGGGAUCCAUCAUAUGGCCGAAUGACUGGAUCGGAUUACUUCAGUAGUAUGCAUUAUGGUCCCGGGGAUGAUUCAGUUGCAGAAAGUGAAUACGUUAGUGGUUGGAGUUGUUUUUAGUUUGAGUCUCCGUAGAAGGGCUUCUCAUGUAGAGUGUCCAGUUAUGUGUGGAAGUCUUCUUAGCAGCGGCAAACAGCAAAUAGGAUUUCGGCUCGAUGCAUAAAUAGUGAAUCAAGAAUAUGUUUGGUUCCCUGGCAGAUUUAUUUUGCGUAGUGGUGGUUCAAAUCCCGUUGGUUUUUCAUCUGUUAGUUUUUGUGUUGUUAUUUCAGGAAUGCAGUAACUUAAGGAUGUUACAUUGUUGUAAGGACAGGUUCAUCUCAACUGUUUUGUAUUGCACUAUAUUAAGAUGUUGAUUUGGUUGUGUUUUUGGAUUGUUUUAUUGACUGAUGAUGAUGCUGGUUUUAGGGGAAGGAUUAUUAGUUCAAGAAGGUGAAAG